GAGUUCACCAGUCACUUUGUAGGAAGUCCUUCAUUGGAAAUUGGAGCCGUCUGUUAGUGUGGAAACUGCACAGGAACCACAGCGAGGCGUAGCAGGUAAAACAGCUAUCUGGAUGAAGGUGUUUGACAGAUAUGCAAAAAACAAAAGAAAAAAGAAAAUAAAGAAGAUUCAUUGAGCUGUGAAAGUGAGACUGAGGAAGAAAAA
Molecule: long non-coding RNA, 204 nt
Organism: Oreochromis niloticus (Nile tilapia)
Lineage: Eukaryota; Metazoa; Chordata; Actinopteri; Cichliformes; Cichlidae
Exons: 2
Source: RefSeq, a predicted model, not a curated record